GAAAAGGUAGUUCAGUGGUAGAACGCUUGCCUUGCAUGCAUGAGGCCCUGUUCA
Molecule: transfer RNA, 54 nt
Filed under: Dipodomys ordii (Ord's kangaroo rat)
Lineage: Eukaryota; Metazoa; Chordata; Mammalia; Rodentia; Heteromyidae
Rfam family: tRNA
About the family: Transfer RNA (tRNA) molecules are approximately 80 nucleotides in length. Their secondary structure includes four short double-helical elements and three loops (D, anti-codon, and T loops). Further hydrogen bonds mediate the characteristic L-shaped molecular structure. tRNAs have two regions of fundamental functional importance: the anti-codon, which is responsible for specific mRNA codon recognition, and the 3' end, to which the tRNAs corresponding amino acid is attached (by aminoacyl-tRNA synthetases). tRNAs cope with the degeneracy of the genetic code in two manners: having more than one tRNA (with a specific anti-codon) for a particular amino acid; and 'wobble' base-pairing, i.e. permitting non-standard base-pairing at the 3rd anti-codon position.
Source: Rfam by way of RNAcentral